CUAAAAGAGUGUUUUUUUAAUUUUUUAAACUAUAUUUAUUAUUCAUAUUAAUCAAAUGACUUUAUGACUGUUUGGAAAAAGUAUUCUCAAAGUUUCAUUUAUAACAAAUAAUUGUUACUUUGCUUGUGGUUGAGAUUUAUCUACUUCAAUGGCCACUAAUUUUGAUUGAUUAAAAAAUUGUGUUAGCUCUUUUGGUGUAGUACUUCCAUAAGUUAACCAUGAAGAAGACAUAAGCAAAUAUCGGUUUAAUAUUUGAUUUAUUGCAAGAUCUAUUAUAAUACCAUCUUCAAUUAUGUGAUACCAGCAAAGAAUAUUUCCUAGUAAUUUUACAGCAACAUUAAAUUGUCUCUGAAAGAAAACAUUCAUUUUGCCAGAAUUCAUCACUCUGAAAAAUAAAUGACAACAUAAAACAGUAUUAUUUAUGAAUCUCGAAGCCUAUCAACCAAAUUAGUUAGAAGUGCCAUUAGGAGUUUGCUAUCAGGAUCAAUGCUAGGUCAAUGAUGGAUGGGAUGGGAAUUAUGGACGGCUAGCACAAGAGACCAGACACCAUCAAUGAAAAAAUC
Daktulosphaira vitifoliae (grape phylloxera) is the source of this 563-nucleotide long non-coding RNA. RefSeq lists it as uncharacterized. Lineage: Eukaryota; Metazoa; Arthropoda; Insecta; Hemiptera; Phylloxeridae. The record is from RefSeq and is a predicted model, not a curated record. The transcript is spliced from 5 exons.